AUUGAACGCUGGCGGCAGGCCUAACACAUGCAAGUCGAGCGGAUGAAGGGAGCUUGCUCCUGGAUUCAGCGGCGGACGGGUGAGUAAUGCCUAGGAAUCUGCCUGGUAGUGGGGGAUAACGUCCGGAAACGGGCGCUAAUACCGCAUACGUCCUGAGGGAGAAAGUGGGGGAUCUUCGGACCUCACGCUAUCAGAUGAGCCUAGGUCAGAUUAGCUAGUUGGUGGGGUAAAGGCCUACCAAGGCGACGAUCCGUAACUGGUCUGAGAGGAUGAUCAGUCACACUGGAACUGAGACACGGUCCAGACUCCUACGGGAGGCAGCAGUGGGGAAUAUUGGACAAUGGGCGAAAGCCUGAUCCAGCCAUGCCGCGUGUGUGAAGAAGGUCUUCGGAUUGUAAAGCACUUUAAGUUGGGAGGAAGGGCAGUAAGUUAAUACCUCGCUGUUUUGACGUUACCAACAGAAUAAGCACCGGCUAACUUCGUG
This 484-nucleotide ribosomal RNA is filed under the name uncultured bacterium. RNAcentral describes it as "partial 16S ribosomal RNA". It matches the Rfam family "Bacterial small subunit ribosomal RNA", at positions 30 to 507 of the family's 1533-position model. The record is from RNAcentral.